This 397-nucleotide ribosomal RNA is filed under the name uncultured bacterium. Its description in RNAcentral is "bacterial SSU rRNA". It matches the Rfam family "Bacterial small subunit ribosomal RNA", at positions 28 to 429 of the family's 1533-position model. The record is from RNAcentral.
GACGAACGCUGGCGGCGUGCUUAACACAUGCAAGUCGAGCGGUAAGGCCCUUUCGGGGGUACACGAGCGGCGAACGGGUGAGUAACACGUGGGUGACCUGCCCUCAGCUCUGGGAUAAGCCUGGGAAACCGGGUCUAAUACUGGAUAUGACUCCAUGACGCAUGUUGUGGGGUGGAAAGCCUUGUGCGGCUGAGGAUGGGCCCGCGGCCUAUCAGCUUGUUGGUGGGGUGANGGCCUACCAAGGCGACGACGGGUAGCCGGCCUGAGAGGGCGACCGGCCACACUGGGACUGAGACACGGGCCCAGACUCCUACGGGAGGCAGCAGUGGGGAAUCUUGCGCAAUGGGCGAAAGCCUGACGCAGCGACGCCGCGUGAGGGAUGACGGCCUGGUGUAAC